Molecule: ribosomal RNA, 531 nt
Filed under: uncultured bacterium
Lineage: Bacteria
Description: bacterial SSU rRNA
Rfam family: Bacterial small subunit ribosomal RNA
Source: RNAcentral
AAUAGAUACCCUGGUAGUCCACGCCGUAAACGAUGAGUGCUAAGUGUUAGGGGGUUUCCGCCCCUUAGGUGCUGCAGCUAACGCAUUAAGCACUCCGCCUGGGGAGUACGGUCGCAAGACUGAAACUCAAAGGAAUUGACGGGGGCCCGCACAAGCGGUGGAGCAUGUGGUUUAAUUCGAAGCAACGCGAAGAACCUUACCAGGUCUUGACAUCCCGCUGACCGGCCUAGAGAUAGGCUUUUUCCCUUCGGGGACAGCGGUGACAGGUGGUGCAUGGUUGUCGUCAGCUCGUGUCGUGAGAUGUUGGGUUAAGUCCCGCAACGAGCGCAACCCUUGAUCUUAGUUGCCAGCAUUCAGUUGGGCACUCUAAGGUGACUGCCGGUGAUAAACCGGAGGAAGGUGGGGAUGACGUCAAAUCAUCAUGCCCCUUAUGACCUGGGCUACACACGUGCUACAAUGGACGGUACAGAGGGUCGCAACCCCGCGAGGGUGAGCUAAUCCCAUAAAACCGUUCUCAGUUCGGAUUGUAGG